ACACAUCUCUGAUUUUUAUAUUUAGGGUCCAAUUAAUUUAAUGGUUGAGAAACAAACAGAAAUAUUCUCUAUUUUACUGUUUUUUCUAACAUUGUAGCAGUAGCAUUUUUAAUUAACUUUAAUUGUCUAAUAGUGUUUUAGGAAGGCCAAUAAAAGGAGCAUUGGAAUAGUCAGCUCUGCAAGAAAUAAAGACAUAAAUGAGCUUCUGCAGAUCUUGCCGGGGUGCAUAAUCUCUCAGUUUAGCUGUAUUUCUGAGAUACCCGAAAGGCUGAUAUAAUCGCAGCUGUAAUAUAUAUAUAUAGUGAAACUAAGGUCCUCAUCCAUCAUUGCACACAUAUAUAUCACACACAGGGGUGGAUCUAGAAGGGUGGCAUGGGGUGGCAAGUGCCACCCUAAAAUGAUCCCUUGCCACCCCAGUUUUGCAUAUGACAGUGUUGUUUAUUAAAAUAGCAUUAACGGUUCGAGCGUAGUUACAGUCAGCAGUGAAUAUAAAUGCUAAAACUGAAUAUAUUGCAUAGUGUCCCCCCCUCCACCAUUAACAAAUGGUUCAGCCCAUAGCAGGACCAGCUUUUUUCUUGUUUUCAGUAGCAAGCGAUGCUUAUGAUUGUGCCAGAGCACAUUUUGAACAACACCAUGGGAAUUUCGGAUUUUACACAGGUGGUUGGAUGUUACACUCUGGAAAUGGAAGCAAGUGCGUGCCCCUCCACUGCAUUAUAUGCAUGUACUGAGCAUGCUCAUCAGCAUCUUCCCUCCAUUCCCCUUCAUCAAGUCCAUCUUGCUGGCGGUCAUGUGGAUAUGUCAAGAGAAAGAAAACAAUAAUCAACAUUGACAAACAGCCCGGGCUGAUGUUCCACAGAGCAGAAGUGAUACCAGGAGGCUGGACACAGCAAAUUAUAUUCCAAAAAUACAUUUUCCUGCAAAUUCAGUGAUAAUAAAAAUGAAAAUUUUGUUUUCUGGCUCAGCUCAAGCGUCACAACAAUAAUAAAAAAAAAGAGUAACAUUGCAGUGUGG
This 1011-nucleotide long non-coding RNA is filed under the name Oreochromis niloticus (Nile tilapia). RNAcentral's name for it is "lncRNA (ENSONIG00000025780.2)". Lineage: Eukaryota; Metazoa; Chordata; Actinopteri; Cichliformes; Cichlidae. The record is from RNAcentral.